RNAcentral lists this transfer RNA (68 nucleotides) under Prometheomys schaposchnikovi (Long-clawed mole vole). Its description in RNAcentral is "tRNA-Asp". The record is from RNAcentral. Lineage: Eukaryota; Metazoa; Chordata; Mammalia; Rodentia; Cricetidae.
GAGAUAUUAGUAAACAUAUUACGUAACUUUGUCAAAGUUAAAUCAUAGACUAGCCUCUGUAUAUCUUA